AGUGAACGCUGGCGGUGGCCUAACACAUGCAAGUCGAACGGCAGCACAGUAAGAGCUUGCUCUUACGGGUGGCGAGUGGCGGACGGGUGAGGAAUACAUCGGAAUCUACUUUUUCGUGGGGGAUAACGUAGGGAAACUUACGCUAAUACCGCAUACGACCUACGGGUGAAAGCCGGGGAUCUUCGGACCUUGCGCGAUUGAAUGAGCCGAUGUCGGAUUAGCUAGUUGGCGGGGUAAAGGCCCACCAAGGCGACGAUCCGUAGCUGGUCUGAGAGGAUGAUCAGCCACACUGGAACUGAGACACGGUCCAGACUCCUACGGGAGGCAGCAGUGGGGAAUAUUGGACAAUGGGCGCAAGCCUGAUCCAGCCAUACCGCGUGGGUGAAGAAGGCCUUCGGGUUGUAAGGCCCUUUUGUUGGGAAAGAAAAGCAGCAGGUUAAUACCCCGCUGUUCUGACGGUACCCAAAGAAUAAGCACCGGCUAACUUCGUG
RNAcentral lists this ribosomal RNA (491 nucleotides) under uncultured bacterium. RNAcentral's name for it is "partial 16S ribosomal RNA". It matches the Rfam family "Bacterial small subunit ribosomal RNA", at positions 29 to 507 of the family's 1533-position model. The record is from RNAcentral.